This 89-nucleotide small RNA is filed under the name Flavobacterium sp. 81. RNAcentral describes it as "Flavo-1 RNA". It matches the Rfam family "Flavo-1 RNA". Lineage: Bacteria; Pseudomonadati; Bacteroidota; Flavobacteriia; Flavobacteriales; Flavobacteriaceae. The record is from RNAcentral. RNAcentral also lists the same sequence under 1 other name.
GUGUAGCCCCGAUGGAAGUGGUAUCCUUUUGUCGCGGUCCCGAUAGCUAUCGGGAGCGACAAAAGAUAUAAUGUACAGCGGGACUUUAU